This 75-nucleotide transfer RNA is filed under the name Cordylochernes scorpioides. RNAcentral describes it as "tRNA-Thr". The record is from RNAcentral. Lineage: Eukaryota; Metazoa; Arthropoda; Arachnida; Pseudoscorpiones; Chernetidae.
UGCCCAAGGAUGGGAAUCGAACCCACAAUGUUCCGCUUACCGGGCAGAUGCCAUGUCCACUAGGCUACCCUGGAC